This 595-nucleotide long non-coding RNA is filed under the name Mus caroli (Ryukyu mouse). RNAcentral's name for it is "lncRNA (MGP_CAROLIEiJ_G0005356.1)". The record is from RNAcentral. Lineage: Eukaryota; Metazoa; Chordata; Mammalia; Rodentia; Muridae.
GCCGCUGGAGGCUGUGGGUUCUGGGAGCUCAAGUGCAGCCCUGUGGAGAAAUUCAUCUAGCGCUGCUGUGAGGUUCUAUCUGGCAAAGGGACACGUGGAGAAUGGGACCAAGAGGAGGAGGCAUCCUGGACGUCACCAGGUGCCCCAUCCACGGCGAGGGAAGCCUGGACCCGGCUCUGCUGUCACUCAGAACAGGUCGGGGACUCUGGUGACCACGUCCCUGCCCGCUGCAUACUUGGAAAGCACUGCCUCUGCCAGAAGCCGAGGCGAGAAGGCUCCCAAAGCAGACACCGGACCCCCGAGUAGCUCUGGUCUCCACGGGCCACCCUGGGAGCUGUGGGGCGAGGCCCACCCGCGCGCCGUACCGCGCAUGCGUCAGUUGGCUGAGCAGGAGGCCGCCCGCGCAGCCUCGCUCCCGCCCGGUCGCCGUGGCAACGGGCUCGCGGGGGGAGGGGCCGCGCCGCGGCGGCUGCUAUUUCUGCUGCUUCCUGUUCCUUGCGGCCACGUCGCCAUGGCAACGGAGUUACUCAGCUCGGCCGCCUCUCGGCUCGGCUGGCGCGCGUGACCCCGGCCGCUCGCGCCCCCUCGUCCCCCU